This 8188-nucleotide long non-coding RNA is filed under the name Volvox carteri. RNAcentral describes it as "long non-coding RNA (VCAR_LNC003295)". Lineage: Eukaryota; Viridiplantae; Chlorophyta; Chlorophyceae; Chlamydomonadales; Volvocaceae. The record is from RNAcentral.
GAUGAGGAAAGCAGCCCCAGACAUCAAACUCAAGCUGAUGCGAACAUAGGCGGCGCAUGAGCCCCGCGGAUUUAAACAGAGCAUAACGAGGAAGCUUGGUAAGCCAGCCACCUAACAUACGUGCGUUCUGAUGGCCAAGGAACGUGGGUGGGGAAACCCCUGAACAUCCUCUUCUCCGCUACUCGCCGCCUAGAUUGUCUCGCCGGCGCCGUCCUCCUUUAAGAACACGCAGGCCCAUGAAAUGUCGGCACGUAACGCUGGCACAGCAACUAACCUGAGGAAUUAGGGAGAAGGUGUUGGAGAUGCCGUCCAGGCAGCUGGUGUAUGGCAGCUUGGCCACGGAGUUGAGGGACGCCAGAGCGCCGUGCGAGUCGCGGCCGUGCAGGGGGUUGGCUCCCGGUGCGAAGGGCUCACCCUUCUUGCGGCCGUCGGGAGUGCUACCGGUCUUCUUGCCGUACACCACAUUGGAGGUGAUGGUCAAGACCGACAGCGUGGGAAUGGAGUUGCUGUGCGGGUAGGAAGGGGCCAGGGAUGAUUCGGGCGAAGGGCAGAAGGAUGAAGGUUUAUACCCAAAGUUGUAUGAUAUAAGUUGGAAAACGCGUCGGAAUGCCUCUGUAUAAAGAAAAAAAAAAGCCCCCUCCCGAGACACUAAUGGCCACGUUGUGUUGGUCGUGAAAGUCGUCUUUCCUAGUUCUCCAACCACACACGCCCUCUCUUGGAGGAGAUCCUGUGGAAAAAGAAGCGUACCUCGAACAAUUGGUGUGGUAACCAUCCGCGAGCUGCAAUCACCUGGGUAGGUAAGGAAAGCGGAGCCUGAUCGUUACUCACCGGUAUGUGUGCUGCUUAGAGAGCAUGUGGGAGAAGCGCUUCACCAGCCACUCGGCCAGAGAGUCCACUCGAUCAUCAUCAUUGCCGUACUUGGGGAAGUCGCCGUGGAUGGCAAAAUCCACCAUGAGACCCCGAUCGUCAUACACCGGGGUUACUUUGGCGUACUUGAUGGCGGAUAAGGAGUCGGCUACCACCGAAAGGCCAGCAAUACCGAAGGCCAGCAGGCGGCGUACGUAGGUAUCAUGCAGGGCCAUUUGCAGACGCUCGUAGUCGUACUUGUCAUGCAUGUCUGUGUGGGAACGGCAGCGAUGCAUGGCCGUUAACACACGCCGCACAGAAACGCAUCGCAAAAUUAAACGCAUCGCAUGCAGCAGCACUUCAAGCUACAACCACCAAAAGACGCCGUGCCUGCCCCACAACUCACAGUGGAUGACGUUCAUGGUGUUGGCGUACAGCGAGGCCAGCCACUCCAUGCCGUCCUCAAGUUUGGCACGGACCUCCUCGAAGUCCAGUGGGGCGUCCUUCACACGCACUGAGGCGAACUUGGGGCCAACCUGCGCACCAGUCACUUCGUCGCGGCCCUGCAACGGGAGAGGAGAACAGAGGCGCGCAGGGUUCAAAUGCUGGACGGAUGUAGGGUGUGGGUCGGGUCACAGGCAAAUAACACGGACACGCACAUCCUACCCUCGCACCUGGUUCAGGACGUAGAGCAUCAGCUUGGGAAGGUUGGCACGCGCACCAAAGUACUGCAUGUCCUUGCCCACCCUCAUGGCGGACACGCAGCAUGCGAUGGAGUAGUCGGAGCCGAACAGGCGGCUCAUCAGCCGGUCAGAUUCGUACUGGAUGGAGGACGUGUCCAGAGACACCUUGGAGCAGAAGUCCUUGAAGGGCUGCGGCAGGUUCUCGUUCCACAGCACCGUCAGAUUGGGCUCGGGCGCCGGGCCCAGGUUGUAGAGCGUGUUGAGCAUGCGGAAGCUGGUCUUCGUGACCAUGGGCUUGCCGGCUGCGUCCGUGCCGCCCAGCACGCAGGUCACCCAGGUGGGGUCGCCCGCGAACAGGGCGUUGUACUCGGGCGUGCGCAGCUGCCGCACAAUCCGCAACUUCAUGACGAAGUGGUCCACCAGCUCCUGAACCUCGGCCUCUGUGAUGGUGCCCGCGGCCAGGUCGCGCUCGAAGUAGGUGUCCAGGAAGGCGUCGAUGCGACCCAGACUCAUGGCAGCGCCAUCUGGGAAUACGGGUUGAGGGGAGAGCAAGGGGGAAGCGACUUGUCAGAAUCGCGAGGUUGUGGAUUCUGAAGAGACGUUAGUUGGUUCCGAGUCAACUGGCAGAAGAACAUGUAGGGUUUCCAAGGUAAAACCUGAUGCUAGGCCAGGUGAUGGAUGCAUUACAUUACAUCAGUGCAUUGCUUUCCGAAUCGUGGGAGGUGCGCCUAACCCACCGCCUCCGCGCACCUUGUUCCUUGACAGCCCCUAGGUAUGCGAAGUACAACCACUGUACGGCUUCCCUGGAGUUCUGGGCGGGCCUGAGGGGGCAGCAAGGGGGGAAAGACCGUGGCGGCGGCGGGGGUUAACACAGCACCCGCAGAAUACGUGGACGAGGAUGGCCGACUUGAAACGGAGCUUCGUGGCCAUGUGGGCCUACCAGCAAACGAACGGGCCGAUGCCGUACCUGCCGAUGUCAAAGCCGUACAACUGGGCCAUCUCCUUGAGCUCCAUCAGCGCGCGGAUCUGCUCGUUCACCUCCUCGCGGAGGCGGAUCUUCUCCUCAUCCAUCACGCCCAGCAGGUUGUGCUUCAGGUCCGUCUUCUUAGCGGCGAUAAGCGCAUCAACGCCGUACAACGCCACGCGCCUGUAGGCCGUACGUGACACAUUAAGCCAUGCCACGCCACGCGGCCAUAGAAAAGGGAAGGACAACAGUCAAAGGAUGACCCAAGUCCGGACCUAAACUCGAAUCCAGGCAAAACCCAAGCAACAUACAUUCACGUGCCUGUAAUCGCCGAUGAUGCGGCCACGGCCAUAGCCAUCUGGCAGGCCCGUCAGAAUGCCGCUCUUGCGCGCCGCUCGCAUCUCAUCCGUGUAGGCAUCGAACACCCCGGCGUUGUGCGUCUUGCGGACAGACGUGUAAACCUGUUCAACCUGUUUGUUUUGGAGCAAAGGAAAACGAGAAGCAAACGUAACCCUUCAUGCAGCAUGUGCAAAUGGGAAUUGUGCAUUUAAGUUACACUGUUUCCUGAACUAAACCUACAUAUAGACUUGCCGUACAAUCUCGUACCUCCGGAUCGGGCUUGAAGCCGUACGACUCCAACGCCGCCUUUACCACGUUUAUACCUCCCAGCGGCUUGAUCGCUCGCUUCAGGGGCUUGUCGGUUUGGAGGCCCACGACCUGCUCAAGGUCCUUGUCGAUGUAGCCGGGGGGAAAGCCAGCAAUGGUUGAGGGCUUGCUAGGAUCCACGUCCAGGACGCCCACUUUUAGCUGUGCACGGGAUCCGCAGAGAUGAGACGGGAGAGCGCGAGGCGUGGCUUCUCAUGUUGAUUGAUUGGUGAACUAAUAUUGUGGGUGACUGGUGGUUGGGUGAAAUCGUUAUGGCGAUUUUAGGCGUUGGCUGCGAUGAGGAGGGCCACCUAAGCAAGGCUUUCCCCACGCCGUUGGUCGGAACGACGAACCGGCGAUGCUCUCGCACAUGGUCUCACUCCUCUUCAACACACAAAACGCCAACCCAGGACCCACCCCAGCCCCACCCCACCUCCUCGCUGAGUAGCUUCUCUAAUUUGCCCCAUAGCGCCUUGGUGCGGGGAGUAGCAGGGGCCAGGAACUUUGCAUCGCCGUACGUAUACGGCUUGUAGUUAUCCUGAAACCAGCGGACAGCCCGUUUGGUCGUUAACGGUCCCAACCAGUCGAGCGCACCAUACACCGCAAAAUACAUCAAGACGCGUAGAUAUAUAACUCCUUAUGGAACGUCGUAUGUGCGUGGUACAAAUUCAACUUGGUCGUACCUGUACGUAGCGCCCGGCGUCAAUAUCGGUGUUCACUGCCGGUUUUGGCCGCGGAUCUGGCAGGCAAAACAGGGCGUCCGCCUGGCCGCUUGGCACUUGCAGCUGCUGCUGCUGCUGCGGCGGCGGCGGCCGCUGCUGCCCAAGCGGCGCGGCAUGGCUGGCAGCCGCAGUGGUGAAACAUCCGCUGUGUGGGUGAGGCGGAAGGCGGAGGGCAUAGGUAGGGACGCAGGGAAGUGCGCAUGGGACGUGGACAUCCUGGCAUCUCAUUUUUCUCUCACUACCUCUAUCUAUAUAUGUAUCUCUCACUUACACGCACACACACACACAUGUUCUCUCUCUCUCUCUCUCACUCGAGCCGCCUUUGCCGCCACGCCUCCCACCACCAGCACCACCCAUGCAUGGGUGGGCCCCGCGCAGACGGUGAGAACCAACACUAACACACAAUGAUCCCGAUCCAGAUGUUGAAGAUAGAAACCUCUCGUUUUGAUAUAACUCGAAACACACGUGCAUGUGCGUGUGUUGCAAACCCGGCUCCAUUCAAGUCCCGCUUCCAGCAGCCCUUCCGUGCCCCACUAACAACACAUAGGCAAUCCCUGCGCCGCUUCCAAACUCACCGAGGCCGUCGGAGGAGCGGCAGCCGAGCCAGGGCCGUCACAGCUAACUUCGGGCAGGCUGCUAGCGGACUGUCAGCUGCGUGCCUUGCCAUCCGCAUCCUGGAUAUCAGAAGAAGAAGAAGAGGCCAGAUUGUGCGAAAUGCGGGGUUUGGCAGAGGAUAAAUGUGAGUGGCUAGCUGCAGCGAUGUGCUCGGGAAGGAUCGUCCCUUGUGCAAUCGUACGGCGACGGAGGAUUUGAGGGGCGCCCUCACGUCAAGCUCCAUGCAUGUGCUGGGGAUGUACAGCAUACAUGACAAAUUCCCGCAGCCCGGUAUUGCGAAAUCAGUCGGGGGAUCCGGCGGGGUUCGCACCUUUCCGUGCUCAGCGCCUGUGUCGGCAUGCCGUCAAGAAGCAAGAAGCUAUUGUUAUUGCUGCCGCCCGCUGGGGAGGUGGCGAUGGGAAUCCGGGAGGACGCGGACGAUGGCGGCUGGCGGCCGGCAAGGGACGAUUGCUUCAGGAUCAGUUGUGAUGCUGUGAGCAGCAGUCGAGCUCCGUGGAGACUGAGCGGGCUCGGUCAGUCGAGUGUGCACACAAGUAAAAGCGAGCUUUCUAGUAGUUGGUCAGUUCUGUCAGUUGGCGUCUUCGUGACGAAACAUGGGCUGGCUUGAAAGAUGGGACGAUAGCUGAGGUUUGUAAGGGAAAAGCAAUAAAGCAGCGUAAAAUGGUUUGUACAAGACUUGGUAGUGAGGUGAACCGUGGGUCAGUCGUGUGAAAGGAGGCACGUCUUUUUGUUCGUUCAGUGAAUUAAUAUUUUUGGACACCUCUCUUGACUGAUAAUACCAGAGGAUAAUGCAGAGGAAUCAGGGCACGCGGGGAAUUUUAAGGUAGUCUCCGAUGCUGUACGCUGGUACCAUCGUACGCUUUUGUACCAAAGCUCUGUCCUGUCUAAAAUCCAUGACACAACGUAAGCAUCCUACGUAAAUCAGCAUCAUACAUAAUAAAAUGUUGAGGUCGAACUAACGUCACAAAACGAGCGGCGACGAACUGAACAUGAAAGCGAUAGGAGCCCGAGAGGGGACCAGAUGCUAAAAGCAUAAUAAGAUGUCCGGCUGAUUGCGGUAGUGCGUAGCUUCACCCAUGGAUGCGAAAUGAACAUCCGGCUGUAAGAGAAUUAAUUGAUGGGCCGAUGGUGCCGAUUGAUUAGCCGAUGGUGGAAUACGCAUCGAAGGCAUGCCGCGCGGCAUCCCGUUGCACUGUGAGGCUCGACCCUUGUUUUUGUGUUCCGCACAUAGCGCAGCUUUGUGCUGUUAUUUCGGUUCACGAUGAUAGUUAUGAAACCAGGAAAUUCCAGUACUGUUGCAACGUGCAAUUUUUUCGGGACUAGGACAAGGAGACAAGGACGUUGGAUGAUGCUGUUUCCCGAUUGCGUCUACAGACAAUCAUGUUCAUACUUCUAGCUCCGGACAAAUAUUGCCGGAAGGCCACUUAAAUAGCGUCCAAUGUCGUGCAUCAGCCAAAGGGGCCCUGCAGGGCUUUGGACCGGGUUCUGAAACCACAGCCUCAUACACGCAGGGGUCGCUUGACAGAUGACGAACAACAUUCCGCGUUUUUGAUUUGUUUAAUUCAUGAGUGAUACGCUUGCAGCAAUAGUCUCAUCGGGUGUAAUCCAGCGGCUCAGGGGUUAACAAGGAGGCAUUUUCGUGUCAUAAAUUCUUCCACCCAUAAUGCAUGUAUGAUUUGAAUUGUGGUGGACUAGAUUUAUAUCAGCCUGCUAUAAGUACACUAUGUGAGUUGCGCACAGUAAAAGGAGUCGGGAAAAUACACAACUCCACUAGACACGUUUCACGUUACAUAUAAAUCUGGGCGUUGGGCUCAAACGUUUCACAGUGCUUCAAUAUUCCCUUUACAUUUCUCCUUGCAGUAUCCAAAUGGGUUACAUGACGUGACAGACAUGAUCGCAAGCCGCACGAUCCCGUGUACAGAAAGUCAGCAAGUGUACGUUAUGUGUACACAAACCUACGCAACGUGCGGGGAUAACUCCCAACGAAGAAACACUUCUAGAACUAUCUACAGGAUAAUAAGCCACUCACCCGGCCGCAACCCCUCAAAACUCAGCAGGCUUAGCAGCGCAUUCAGAUAACAAAUGCAACUCACUCGUUGACUGGGGGUAGCCGACUUGAUUGAUACAUUUCCCGUGUCAUUGCUUCAAUAAGAGCAUAGCGCAAAGGCGCAUACGCUUAUUUCUGUAACAUAUACGCCGAGCACUAGCCAGGUAAGGGGAAAGCCCUCUCACCAUAUUUAUUGUCAGGUCGAAAGUCGGCAAACGCCCGGCAAAUAAUUGAGGAGGCUAGCCAAUGCAGGGCCAAACAUUUCCGCUCAAGGUUUCAUAUGAUAUCACAACCGCAUUUGGUGCAUACAUCUAUGCGCAACGUCUGCAAACAACUAACCAACGGGGCUCACCGCUUUAAGAACGCCAAGCCAUAAACAUCAGGAGCAUGCGACCUGAGAUGCUUUGCUGAUAGCGGAAAUAAUGAACGAAUCUCUUAUUCACGAUAUCCUCACGACUCUUCGGCAUGCCACAUGUACAAUAAUGAUUGAUGCCACUCGCUUUUGUUAAGCUCACACGGUAACACAAGGCAUUACCUCCCACGUUAAGCGACUAACACAUACAUGGGCCCCCCUCUGCAAUCCUUCAACGCCGCCGCUCAGCUCCUCCUCCGUGGUGGUGUCACAACUUAUUACAUGGUCUCGUGGAAGGUGCGGGCGAUGACCUCGAGCUGCUGCUCCCGGGUAAGUCGGGCAAAGUGCACCGCGUAGCCGGAGACGCGGAUGGUGAGGUUGGGGUACUUCUCGGGGUGCUGCAGAGAGAGAUGGGGAAGGAUUGUAGGCGAUGAGGAACGUGAGAGCUCGAAAUGCCAAAGAGGAAAGACGACACGGUCAGCUGGCAACUUAUCCCGCAUGGGGAACACCUUAACCUGGCUAAAGCAGGAAUGGGAUCGACGAACACAUCAAGCAUCCGAACCUCACCUCCACGGCGUCCAUAAGCAUUGCGCGGUUGAGCACAUUGACGUUGAUGUGGUGGCCACCAGUUACGAAGUAGCCGUCCAGGAUGGAGGACAGGUUAGCAGCGCGCUCAGGUUCACCGCCUUUGCCCAGAACCUACAAGAGCCACACGGGCGCAAAGGAGAGCAACCUAGUAAGGAUGAGGAGGAAGAGGUUAAUAAGGGUAUUAAGCUUCAGUCAUAGCAAUGCAAGGUCGUCGUAAAACUCUGCGAAGCGCGUCCAUCGGGCUGGUCAUCAUCUGCUUCUGGGAAUUUCCAACCUCCGCCCCUCCGCCGUGUUCUCCUCCCCACAGCAACUAACCUGAGGAAUUAGGGAGAAGGUGUUGGAGAUGCCGUCCAGGCAGCUGGUGUAUGGCAGCUUGGCCACGGAGUUGAGGGACGCCAGAGCGCCGUGCGAGUCGCGGCCGUGCAGGGGGUUGGCUCCCGGCGCGAAGGGCUCACCCUUCUUGCGGCCGUCAGGAGUGCUACCGGUCUUCUUGCCGUACACCACAUUGGAGGUGAUGGUCAAGACCGACAGCGUGGGGAUGGAGUUGCUGUGCGGGUAGGAAGGGGGCAGGGAUGAUUGGGGCGAAGGGCGGAAGGAGGAAGGUUUAUACCCUAAGUUGUAUGAGGGGUGACCGAGGCCGGCGUCAGCGCGAGCAUUGUGCAGCAUAUUGCAAAAUCAAGAACCCCUAUGCUGAAUCACCAACGAUUCUCAAGUGCACUUACCGGU